This 151-nucleotide ribosomal RNA is filed under the name Frankia sp. AgP1R3. RNAcentral describes it as "partial 23S ribosomal RNA". Lineage: Bacteria; Bacillati; Actinomycetota; Actinomycetes; Frankiales; Frankiaceae. The record is from RNAcentral.
GGAUCUCAGGCGUAGGCGAUGGACAACGGGUUGAUAUUCCCGUACCGGCGCUGACGCGCCCAUGCUGAACCUGGUUGUGCUAACCAUCUGAUCGGAUGUGUCUUUUCGGAGAUGUGUCUGGAAGGGUGGGAUCCCGGCUGGUAGUAGGCAA